UAGGGAGAAAGCAGCUGUUGAUGCCCACUGUGUUUUCUACUUGGAGAUGCUUCUGGAAUUCUCUAUGAAUUACUUUCUAAUAUUCUUAUUCUUACUGGAGAAAGGGAUUCCAAGGCAAGGGUUCUGUCAUUACCCCUCUUUCUAGCUCUUGCCUCUAGCAAUCAGGUCCAUUUGUUGCAUCCAAAUAUUCCUCUCUUGUCUUUCUGCUUUUACUUUGUUUGUUGUUGUUGUUAUUUCAAAAUUUUCAUUUGAACUCUAUCUAGAAAAUAUCCAACUGAAAUUCCUCUGUGUUAUUUUUAGGUAAAUUGUACUUCCUAUUAAUCCUGGAUCCUGAGGCAUGAUAUCUCUAAUUUUUCUAUCAUUUAAAUAAUUUUAGAAGGAAUUUAGAAUAGGAUAAGUUAGCACGCUGUGUUCACUAUGAAUCUUCAGCUAGUAUCUGAAAGUUAUGUUUAUAUAAAUGUUUAUUUUUUGCUGAGAACACAUGUCCAUGAAUGAAUGUGAUUGAAAUUGUAACACCUCAUAAUGGUGAAUUAUUAAAAGAAUAGACACUGUAUAUUAUUAAAUUACACAUAUGUCUUAGUCUGGGUUCCCCAGAGAGAGACAGAACCAAAGGGAAAUAUAUUUUUAUACACAAUGUUAAAUUAUAUAAAUAUGUAUGCAAUGUUAUAUAUAUGUAUAAAUAUUAAAUGUGUAAAUAUAUACACAUAAUAUAUAUGCUUGUAAAUAAAUUUAUUAUAUGGCAUUGUCUCAUGAAAUUAUAGAGGCUGAGUAGUCUCAAGAUCUGAAGACAGCAGAAACCUGGGAAAGUUAAUGAUAUACGUUGUUAUACUCCAAGUGUGAGUCUGAAGACAAGGGAAGACCAACGUCCAAGCUUGAAGACAGUCAGAUAGAAUCAUUCUGCAGCCUGGCUAAGGAUGAAGAUAACUGAUAAACUAUUAUAUACCACUUAACAUUGAAGAACUUAAGAAUGUGCAAUGAGAGUUAAACUUCGAAUCACGCAUGGCAAUCAGUGCCUACUCAUGCCAUUUCACUUCAAAGGGACGGUGUCUAGAAACAUUCUUUUUACAAGGCAUUGAUAUAUGUAAAGAAUGUAUCAAUGAAUAGAUGAUGGUGGUGUUUCAGUUACAAAAGCAGAGAAAGAAAUUUGUUACUGAAGGCAAACUUGUACACCUGGGCAAAGCACUUGCAUUCUUUUAAGUUCUGUCAAAGGUAGUACUUCUCAAACUUAAAUAUGCAUGCAAAUCACCUGAGGAAUCACAGAAGAAUUCAGAUUCUCAUGUGAAGGUCUAGAGUGGGGCUUGACCCUCUGCAUAAUAAGCUUCCAAGUGAUGCUGAUACAGCUUGUCCACUUUGAAUAACAAGGAUUUAGUUGAAAGAAACCCUGAAUCAUGGACAUACUUUGAUUUAUCUCUGCUCUUUCUUGAUUUGGACUCAUUAAACCAACUUCAGAUUACAAUUUGCCUUCUCUGUUGGUUUAUCUAAAUAGCAGUAUUGUUAAUCCCAAGAUUGUAUCCCUUAUGGUGAAUAAACAUGUGGACAUUCCAGAUUUAUGCAUUUAGGCAUUUAUUUCUGUGAGGUUGGUUAAUGUGCAUUUGUUUCAGAUGAGGUUAAUAAAAU
RNAcentral lists this long non-coding RNA (1617 nucleotides) under Homo sapiens (human). Its description in RNAcentral is "HSALNT0138894". Lineage: Eukaryota; Metazoa; Chordata; Mammalia; Primates; Hominidae. The record is from RNAcentral.